RNAcentral lists this ribosomal RNA (440 nucleotides) under uncultured bacterium. RNAcentral describes it as "partial 16S ribosomal RNA". It matches the Rfam family "Bacterial small subunit ribosomal RNA", at positions 339 to 795 of the family's 1533-position model. The record is from RNAcentral.
CUACGGGUGGCACCAGUGAGGAAUAUUGCACAAUGGGGGGAACCCUGAUGCAGCAACGCCGCGUGGAGGAUGACGCAUUUCGGUGUGUAAACUCCUUUUAUAUGUCAAGAAAAUGACGGUAGCAUAUGAAUAAGCACCGGCUAACUCCGUGCCAGCAGGCCGCGGUAAUACGGAGGGUGCAAGCGUUACUCGGAAUCACUGGGCGUAAAGGACGCGUUGGCGGGUUGGAAAGUCAGGUGUGAAAUCCUACAGCUUAACUGUAGAACUGCACUUGAAACUUCUAAUCUAGAGUAUGGGAGGGGGAGAUGGAAUUAGUGGUGUAGGGGUAAAAUCCGUAGAUAUCACUAGGAAUACCUAAAGCGAAGGCGAUCUCCUGGAACAUUACUGACGCUAAGGCGUGAAAGCGUGGGGAGCAAACAGGAUUAGAUACCCGGGUAGUC